GUAAUGCCGCAGUCCCGGAGCAGCCUUGGAGGUCCCCCUCCCCACUAAGUGCCUCUUUGCAUAGCACCGGUCCAGCCCCACUCUCUGGACCACUACAGCUAGACGGGCAAUGGCGGGUCGGGGAGGCACAGCACGACCCAAUGGGCAAGCCUCUGGGAACAAGAUCUGUCAGUUCAAGCUUGUUCUGCUGGGGGAGUCUGCGGUGGGCAAAUCCAGCCUUGUCGUCCGCUUCAUCAAGGGACAGUUUAAUGAGUACCAAGAGAGCACAAUCGGAGCAGCCUUCCUCACACAGACUAUCUGCCUGGACGACACAACAGUCAAGUUUGAGAUCUGGGACACAGCUGGACAGGAGUAGUAUCACAGCCUGGCCCCCAUGUACUAGCGGGAGGCCCAGGCUGCCAUCGUGGUCUAUGACAGAUACAUUUGCAUGGGCCAAGAAUUGCGUGAAGGAGCUACAGAGGCAGGCCAGCCCCAACAUCGUCAUUGCACUUGUGGGUAACAAGGCAGACCUGGCCAGCAAGAGAACCGUGGAAUUCCAGGAAGCACAAGCCUAUGCAGACGACAAUAGUUUGCUGUUUAUGGAGACAUCAGCAAAGACUGCCAUGAACGUGAAUGAAAUUUUCAUGGCAAUAGCUAAGAAGCUUCCCAAGGACGAGCCCCAGAAUGCAGCUGGUGCUCCAGGCCGAAACCGAGGUGUGGACCUCCAGGAGAGCAAGCCAGCCAGCCGGAGCCAGUGCUGCAGCAACUGAGCCCCACUUGCCGGCCCGCUGCCCCCACCUCCUCCGCCUGAACAACCCGACUGGAAUCCACUCUAACCAAUGGUACUUAACCACUCAGGCCACCACUGGAGGGGCAGGGGGAGGGGUCCACCAUGAUUUCUUCAUAUAAUUUUGAUCAUAGGCUGGAGUGAGGUAUUCCACCUGCACCUUUCUGUACAAAUACUGAUUCAAUUUUGUCUUAAGUCACUUUUUUAAUAUAUAUGAUCUUCUGCUCUUCCCACUUCCUCCCCUUUCUACUGCUCUCUCACUUUCCCUUGCUGGGAUUAGCUACAUGCUCCUGUCCCCACCCCCCACCCUUGUAUAUGGGGACAAUGGGUCAGAGCAGCUACACUUUCUUUCCUUCCUGCGGAACAGUGGACCAAGCAAGAGCAUCCACAUCCACAUUCUGUUCGGAGUGGUCUUUGGUUUGGGCAGUGGGGCAGACCUUGGGAAGGGGCUUGGGAAGGGAGUGGCAGCUCUUCCCUCAGCUGGCUGUCAUCAGGCUGCAGCCCCCUCCCUGCCCCCGCCUCCCUGCUGGAGAAGCACAGCAUUAUCACAGCAUUAUUGUGACAGCCACAAACCCAUUGCCUACAGCCCCUCCACCCUCGGUCACCCCAACCUCUGGCUCUGAGUCCUGUUCUGACCAAAUCACGAUGAUGAGUAUUUGGGGGUGGGUGGGUAAGGGGAGGAGUGGGAGGGGAUGGAACCAACUGUUUCUGUAUUUUGUAUUGUAUGUUUUCUUCAACAUGUAACCAAUCAGUAUCUUGUCAAUAUAGUCAGCCGAUCGACCUCAAAAAAAAAAAAAA
Molecule: non-coding RNA, 1564 nt
Organism: Callithrix jacchus (white-tufted-ear marmoset)
Lineage: Eukaryota; Metazoa; Chordata; Mammalia; Primates; Cebidae
Source: RefSeq, a predicted model, not a curated record